This 305-nucleotide small nuclear RNA is filed under the name Erinaceus europaeus (western European hedgehog). Its description in RNAcentral is "7SK RNA (ENSEEUG00000019627.1)". It matches the Rfam family "7SK RNA". Rfam says of the family: 7SK was discovered as an abundant small nuclear RNA in the mid-70s but a possible function has only recently been suggested. Two independent studies have found that 7SK RNA binds the CDK9/cyclin T complex (known as elongation factor P-TEFb). The record is from RNAcentral. Lineage: Eukaryota; Metazoa; Chordata; Mammalia; Eulipotyphla; Erinaceidae.
GGAUGAGAGUGUGAUCUGGCUGUGACAUCUGUCACCCCAUUGAUCGCCAGGCUUGAUUCUGCUGAUCUAGCUGGCUAGGCAGGUGUCCUCUUCCUCCCUCACUGCUUCAUGCUGCCCACUUGGUCAAAGAGGAUGCUUUCCCUGAAUAGAGAAGACCAGUCUUUGGUAGAGUAGCUACGCUUCCGUACUAGAACCUCCAAACAAGCUCUCAAGAUCCAUUUGUAGGAGAAUGUGGAGUAAUUCAAGCUUCCCAAUACUACAGAUACAUCCAAAUGUGGUGCUGCAAGUGGCCAGUCUGCCUAUCU